GGUCCUGUAGCUCAACUGGUUAGAGUGUUGGUCUGAUAUGCCAAAGGUCAUGGGUUCAAGCCCCCAUCGGGACCA
Triticum aestivum (bread wheat) is the source of this 75-nucleotide non-coding RNA. The record is from Rfam. Lineage: Eukaryota; Viridiplantae; Streptophyta; Magnoliopsida; Poales; Poaceae.